CGUAGGUGGCAAGCGUUGUCCGGAAUUACUGGGUGUAAAGGGCGUGUAGGCGGGUUAUUAAGUCAGAUGUGAAAUUCUGGGGCUCAACCCCGGCGCUGCAUCUGAAACUGGUAAUCUUGAGUGCUGGAGAGGAAAGCGGAAUUCCUAGUGUAGCGGUGAAAUGCGUAGAUAUUAGGAGGAACACCAGUGGCGAAGGCGGCUUUCUGGACAGUAACUGACGCUGAGGCGCGAAAGCGUGGGAGCAAACAGGAUU
Molecule: ribosomal RNA, 253 nt
Filed under: uncultured bacterium
Lineage: Bacteria
Description: partial 16S ribosomal RNA
Rfam family: Bacterial small subunit ribosomal RNA
Source: RNAcentral